Molecule: transfer RNA, 78 nt
Filed under: Bacillota bacterium
Lineage: Bacteria; Bacillati; Bacillota
Description: tRNA-Pro
Rfam family: tRNA
About the family: Transfer RNA (tRNA) molecules are approximately 80 nucleotides in length. Their secondary structure includes four short double-helical elements and three loops (D, anti-codon, and T loops). Further hydrogen bonds mediate the characteristic L-shaped molecular structure. tRNAs have two regions of fundamental functional importance: the anti-codon, which is responsible for specific mRNA codon recognition, and the 3' end, to which the tRNAs corresponding amino acid is attached (by aminoacyl-tRNA synthetases). tRNAs cope with the degeneracy of the genetic code in two manners: having more than one tRNA (with a specific anti-codon) for a particular amino acid; and 'wobble' base-pairing, i.e. permitting non-standard base-pairing at the 3rd anti-codon position.
Source: RNAcentral
CGGGGCGUAGCUCAGCUUGGCUAGAGCGCUUGCUUGGGGUGCAAGAGGCCGGGUGUUCAAAUCACCUCGCUCCGACCA